RNAcentral lists this ribosomal RNA (274 nucleotides) under uncultured bacterium. Its description in RNAcentral is "partial 16S ribosomal RNA". It matches the Rfam family "Bacterial small subunit ribosomal RNA", at positions 523 to 796 of the family's 1533-position model. The record is from RNAcentral.
AUACAGAGGGUGCAAGCGUUAAUCGGAAUUACUGGGCGUAAAGCGCGCGUAGGUGGUUUGUUAAGUUGGAUGUGAAAGCCCCGGGCUCAACCUGGGAACUGCAUCCAAAACUGGCAAGCUAGAGUACGGUAGAGGGUGGUGGAAUUUCCUGUGUAGCGGUGAAAUGCGUAGAUAUAGGAAGGAGCACCAGUGGCGAAGGCGACCACCUGGACUGAUACUGACACUGAGGUGCGAAAGCGUGGGGAGCAAACAGGAUUAGAAACCCCUGUAGUCC